UAUGAAUAAGAUUCGUCACUAACUUUGACCAGUAGAAGACACACUGAAAUUGCUAUGAUUCUACAGAGGUUUUUUUAACAUCACUGAACAUAAAAAAGUCAUUACAUUGAGAAACUGAACCUGAAUUCUGCUUUGGACAGUGACUAGACUUGACAGUAAAGGGAAGAAGGAGUAUAAGUCACCUUAGAACUUAAAAAAGGUGCUUCAGUGACUUUUCACUAAAAGCAAUCAAAAGGAGAAAAAUAGCUUUGGAGAUUACAGUAUGACUACGCUUGAGGAUCAGCCCUUUGAAACCAGGAUUGGCUGGACCUAGUGAGCUGAAAUAUUUCAGAAGCAUGGAAGAAUAAGAAGCCAUAACAUUACGGCAAAGGCAACCCAGGUUGACAGAGGGUAGGA
This 396-nucleotide long non-coding RNA is filed under the name Phasianus colchicus (ring-necked pheasant). RNAcentral's name for it is "lncRNA (ENSPCLG00000019658.1)". The record is from RNAcentral. Lineage: Eukaryota; Metazoa; Chordata; Aves; Galliformes; Phasianidae.